UCUUUCUUAGGAAACUCUGACCUAAGCACCAUAUCACCAAUAUCACAAACUGUCCAUCCCUUGCUAAACUUGGCCAAGGACAAAAUAAUAAAGAGGACAGGCCUCAAAAGUUAGCUAAUAGCUAUAUAAACAAGUUUUGUUAGGGAAAUCGACGCAGAAUAUAUAUAUAUAAAGCUUCUUAUGCACGCAACAAAAAAGACAAAAAUAGCUGCUUUCUUCAAAUAUGGCAAUAUUUCGUUUCCUCACCACACUGGGACCGCCUCGCAGCAGAAGACGCCAUUAAUUGCAACCUUGUCAGCGCUUGUCAAACAAUAUUACCAAAAAAAUUAAAAGCCAGGGCAAAAUGGAUUGAGAAUAUUGGGCGACGUGAUUGGAAUCCUACAUCAAAUUCAUAUAUUUGUUCUUUGCAUUUUGAGGAGAAUUGCAUCAAUCACACUUUAAAAGUACCGCGAGUGAAAGAUAACUGUUUUCCAACAAUAUUCCCGCAAGGAAUUGGGCGACAUAUAUAUGAACAAAAUGAAUUAAACACAACUGGAUGUUUGUCACAACAGCAUGUAAUUGCAGUGGAUGAAUUAAAUUCUCAAGCAAGUACAUCUAAGGAAUACCCUUACAAUUGAAAGGAAACGUAUUUUCUUCAACAACACAUAACAUUAAAUGGGAUCACUCAUAUGCGUCAUCAAGCACACAGCAGGUCUCAACAGUCAUUAUUCAAAAAAUGAAGGACAAAAUCAAGAUGCAACAAAAACAAAUCAAGAGACUAAAAGAAAAAGUUAAAAGACAAUCAAAUAAAAUUUUUAAUUUGCGAUGUGAUAUAACAACAUUAAAAAAUAAAAGCUUUAUUAAUGAUGAAGCGUAGUCGUUGGUAAAGGAUUGUGCAGGACCAAAAGAGUUUUUGCAAAGGCAAAUAUUGAGAACCAAAAACCGGUCAGUACCAAAAAAGUACGCAGAAGAAAUACGGAAGUUCGCGUUUCGCGUUUCACUUAUGCUGACAAGUUCGGCCAUUUUGAAUGUUCAGUUAAUUGUUGACAGCUGCUUUGCUUGCACGUGUUUUGGUUCGUCUUAGAUUUUUACCUAUUCAAAAAAAUGGAACAAAGAACCUGUAUCAAAUUUUGUGUGAAAAACGAUAUUAAGUGCGCGGAUGCAUUCCGAAUGUUGACUGUGGCAUACGGAGAAGCUACUUUGGACAAAAGCAACGUUUAUCGGUGGUACAAAAUGUUUUCAGAAAGCCGAGAAGAUGUGAACGACGAAGAGCGUGCCGGACGCCCGAGCACUUCAACAAUAGACGAAAAAAUUGAUGAAGUGAAGAAAAUGGUAUUGGCCAACCGUCGAAUCACCGUUAGAGAAAUUGCCGAGGACCUAGGCAUAUCGAUUGGCUCGUGCCAUUCGAUUUUAAUCGAUAAUUAGGGCAUGAGACGGGUCGCCGCAAAAUUCGUACCAAAAUUUCUCAAUUUCGAUAACGCCCCUGCUCACACAUCGCUGCUUAUACGCGACUUCUUGGCCAAAAACAACACACUAAUGAUACCGCAGCCACCCUGUGACUUUUUCUUGUUCCCGAAACUGAAGAGGCCCAUGAAAGGACGACGCUACACCCCGAUUAACGAGAUAAAGACGGCAUCGAAGGAGGAGCUGAACAAGACACAAAAAAAUGAUUUUUUGAACUGCUUCGAAGAUUCGAAAAAAACGUUGGCACUAGUGUAUAAUAUCCCAGGGGGAUUACUUUGAAGGGGACAAAAUAGAUAUUCACGAAUAAAUAAAUAAUUUUUUAAAAUACACAAAAUUCGCGAUACUUUUUGAACACACUACGUAUGUGCUCAGAAUAUCGGAAGAAUAACUAAUUUAUUUAGCUAGGCUGAACAUUAUGUAAGAAAUUUAAAUCUAGCUUCCGGGCAAUAUAUGUAUUAUAACAUCACGCAGAAAAACUGGAUUUAUAAGUCUUUUGGUACUCAUGAACGGUGUCCUAAAUUUAUUAAAAUAUUUAGUUUCAGAAGGUGUUAAAAUAUUUGCCAUUAUAUAAAAUAUCACAAGAUCACCUAGAAAUGUUUUUUUCUGCUAUUAGGUCCAAAGGUGGCUAUAACAAUGGCCCAAAUGCGGUACAAUUUAAGCGGCUUAUAAAAUAAAAUUGAUCAGAGCGCAAAACGGAUAUAAUGGCGUAGGUAGUUGUAUACUUCUUGAUCAAAUUCAUAUAUGAAAUUGUUCAAGUAAAAUAUGUCAAAAAUAUAAAUAAUUUGACUGUUAGGAAUAGCUUUGUCGCAAUUCCCGAAGACAACAUCACUAUCUAAGAUUAUUACUUAACGUUAACGUUUGAUAAAAGUAAAACCAAGGGGGCAUAUUGACAUAUACCUUACGUUGUGUAUUAAAAAUUGUAAGAGACACAGAAAAAAACAUCAAACCACAAUUAAAGUCAGGAACUAAAGUUGAAAAUUACUCUGCAUAUAUUUAAAUUUUUUUAAUAGACAAUUUUGAAUAUGCGAAUGUUUUAGUAUUUAAUGAUUUAGAGAACAAUAGUCAUACAAACUGCUUUUAAAACAAUAAUAAAUAAAUAUAUUGGUUUGUGGUUUAAAUACUCUGGAAAGAAAAGUGCAGAAAGAGUGUCGUCUAGAAUUUAUUUGACAUAGAUAAUUUGUUUAAAAAAAAUAAUAAUUAUUAAUAAACAUUUAUUUUAUCUUA
RNAcentral lists this unclassified non-coding RNA (2667 nucleotides) under Manduca sexta (tobacco hornworm). Its description in RNAcentral is "uncharacterized LOC115450658, transcript variant X2". Lineage: Eukaryota; Metazoa; Arthropoda; Insecta; Lepidoptera; Sphingidae. The record is from RNAcentral.